UACGAAGGUGGCAAGCGUUGUUCGGAUUUACUGGGCGUAAAGAGCUCGUAGGCGGUUCGAUAAGUCGGAUGUGAAACCUCCAGGCUCAACCUGGAGACGCCACCCGAUACUGUCGUGACUAGAGUCCAGUAGGGGAGCGUGGAAUUCCUGGUGUAGCGGUGAAAUGCGCAGAUAUCAGGAGGAACACCAAUGGCGAAGGCAGCUCGCUGGGACGGUACUGACGCUGAGACGCGAAAGCGUGGGGAGCAAACAGG
This 254-nucleotide ribosomal RNA is filed under the name uncultured bacterium. RNAcentral describes it as "partial 16S ribosomal RNA". It matches the Rfam family "Bacterial small subunit ribosomal RNA", at positions 524 to 776 of the family's 1533-position model. The record is from RNAcentral.